UACGGUGAAUACGUUCCCCGGACCUUGUACACACCGCCCGUCAAGCCAUGGAAGCCGGGUGUACCUAAAGUCGAUAACCGUAAGGAGUCGCCUAGGGUAAAAACUGGUGACUGGGGGCU
RNAcentral lists this ribosomal RNA (119 nucleotides) under uncultured bacterium. Its description in RNAcentral is "partial 16S ribosomal RNA". It matches the Rfam family "Bacterial small subunit ribosomal RNA", at positions 1358 to 1482 of the family's 1533-position model. The record is from RNAcentral.